Molecule: ribosomal RNA, 1500 nt
Filed under: Triticum aestivum (bread wheat)
Lineage: Eukaryota; Viridiplantae; Streptophyta; Magnoliopsida; Poales; Poaceae
Description: partial small subunit ribosomal RNA
Source: RNAcentral
AUGGCGACGAAUUGUCCCGACGAGAACGACGGCGUGGCCGGCCAUCCCGGCGCUCCACCACCACCACCGGCACAGCCCACCCCGGCGCCGGACCCCAACUCCUUGCCGUCGACGCCGCAGCAGUCGUCCCCGUCCUUUUUCUUGCCACCGCCGUGUAAUUAUCCGUCGCAACCAGAUGAAUGGUCGAACAUCUCUGCGCUCGACAACGAUGACGCCAUCAAUGCUAGCGUUUUCAGCUAUAUCGAUUAUCUUAACCCCUCACUGCCGCCUCUGUUGGACGACACCCCGUUUGCACCCUUCGUGCAGCCGGCGAUGCCUCCGCCGUCGCAACAGCUGCAUCGUUAUCCAUCGCAACCAGAUGAAGAGUCGAGCAUCCCUGCGCUCGGCAACAACGACGCCAUGAAUGCCAGCCUUUUCGGCGACUCUUAUUUUAACGCCUCCUCACUGCCGCCGUUGAGCGCCACCCCGCUAGCACCCUCCGUGCAGCCAGCGACGCAACUGCCGCACUACAUCCAGCAGCUACCAGCCAUGGCGACCAUGGGAGAAACUCAGUACUGCUACUCCGAAGCCGCUCCAGAGCACGCCGUACUCCCGGACGCGCCACCACCGCCGGCAGCUGAAACCACCAAGCCGGCCGGAGGGCGGCGCCGCGGCCGGCCUCGUGGCAGCACCGCAAAGUCCAAGCCCAAGUCGAAGGUCGCCAACACCGCCGCUGCAGCUGGGCGCCGGCAGCAAGAAGCUGCUACCGCGUCUGCCAUCAUCGCCCGGCAGGAAACCGUGGGCGCCGGCAGCGCGGAGGUGGAGGAGGAGCAAAAGGUGGUGGAAUACGCGGACACGAACAUCCCGGGCGUCCGGUUCAAGCCGACGGACGCGGAGAUCAUCUGGUACCUGGAGAGGAAGUACCACGGCCACCCGUUGCCCGUCAACUUCAUCAAGGAGUUCGACGUCUUCGAGGACCAUCCCGACACGGUCCAAGAGAAGUACGGGGAGUGCCAGGAAGGGGUAUGGUACGUGUUCUCAUCCAGGGACCGGAAAUACAAGAACGGCACCCGGCCAGUUCGGUCCGUCGGGACGGUGGGCUUCUGGAAAUCCAGCGGCAAAGAGGAAGAUGUACUAGACAAGAAUAAUGUCAAGAUCGGGAGAGUGAACACUCUCACAUUCAAGCUCGGCCACCAGCCAAAGGGGACGUCCACCCCCUGGAGGUUGAAGGAGUACCGCAUGGAGAAGUACCAGGAAGACCCUAAUCCCUCCUCCAUGCUGCUUGACCCGUGGGUGAUCUGCAAAUUGUUCCGUACCAAAAAUCCACCAGCACGCCAGCAUGAUUUGCCUGUUCAGUCGGGAGAUCAAACAGAUGAGGGUGAUGAACACGCCAGCGAGGCAAAUGGCCGCGGAGGCGAAGACGGGAAUCAGCCGCCGAAUGGCCCUGAACCAGAGCUGGGCAUGGAAAACUGCUACUUCUCACUUGAUGACUUUACACAUGGAGAUCCCAAAGAUCAAUGA